This 497-nucleotide ribosomal RNA is filed under the name uncultured bacterium. Its description in RNAcentral is "partial 16S ribosomal RNA". It matches the Rfam family "Bacterial small subunit ribosomal RNA", at positions 28 to 507 of the family's 1533-position model. The record is from RNAcentral.
GAUGAACGCUGGCGGCGUGCCUAAUACAUGCAAGUCGAGCGAACAGAUGAGGAGCUUGCUCCUCUGACGUUAGCGGCGGACGGGUGAGUAACACGUGGAUAACCUACCUAUAAGACUGCGAUAACUUCGGGAAACCGGAGCUAAUACCGGAUAAUAUAUUGAACCGCAUGGUUCAAUAGUGAAAGACGGUUUUGCUGUCACUUAUAGAUGGAUCCGCGCCGCAUUAGCUAGUUGGUAAGGUAACGGCUUACCAAGGCAACGAUGCGUAGCCGACCUGAGAGGGUGAUCGGCCACACUGGAACUGAGACACGGUCCAGACUCCUACGGGAGGCAGCAGUAGGGAAUCUUCCGCAAUGGGCGAAAGCCUGACGGAGCAACGCCGCGUGAGUGAUGAAGGUCUUCGGAUCGUAAAACUCUGUUAUUAGGGAAGAACAAAUGUGUAAGUAACUAUGCACGUCUUGACGGUACCUAAUCAGAAAGCCACGGCUAACUACGUG